GAGUUACUCCAGCAUUUUUGUGAAACUGGUACGAUGACUAGCAUGGGGGAGGGCCGGGGAGAGAGGUAAUGCAAGGGUUACUUGAAAAGUUAGAGAAAUCAA
This is a long non-coding RNA of Amblyraja radiata (thorny skate), 102 nucleotides long. RefSeq lists it as uncharacterized. The record is from RefSeq and is a predicted model, not a curated record. The transcript has 3 exons. Lineage: Eukaryota; Metazoa; Chordata; Chondrichthyes; Rajiformes; Rajidae.